RNAcentral lists this ribosomal RNA (1472 nucleotides) under metagenome. RNAcentral's name for it is "bacterial SSU rRNA". It matches the Rfam family "Bacterial small subunit ribosomal RNA". The record is from RNAcentral.
AGAGUUUGAUCCUGGCUCAGGAUGAACGCUAGCGGCAGGCUUAACACAUGCAAGUCGAGGGGUAUAAGUCUUCGGAUUUAGAGACCGGCGCACGGGUGCGUAACGCGUAUGCAAUCUACCUUUUACAGAGGGAUAGCCCAGAGAAAUUUGGAUUAAUACCUCAUAGUAUAGCUGAACCGCAUGGUUCUACUAUUAAAGUCACAACGGUAAAAGAUGAGCAUGCGUCCCAUUAGCUAGUUGGUAAGGUAACGGCUUACCAAGGCUACGAUGGGUAGGGGUCCUGAGAGGGAGAUCCCCCACACUGGUACUGAGACACGGACCAGACUCCUACGGGAGGCAGCAGUGAGGAAUAUUGGUCAAUGGACGCAAGUCUGAACCAGCCAUGCCGCGUGCAGGAUGACGGCCCUAUGGAUUGUAAACUGCUUUUGCACAAGAAGAAACAACUCUACGUGUAGAGUCUUGACGGUACUGUGAGAAUAAGGAUCGGCUAACUCCGUGCCAGCAGCCGCGGUAAUACGGAGGAUCCAAGCGUUAUCCGGAAUCAUUGGGUUUAAAGGGUCCGUAGGCGGUUUAGUAAGUCAGUGGUGAAAGCCCAUCGCUCAACGGUGGAACGGCCAUUGAUACUGCUAGACUUGAAUUAUUAGGAAGUAACUAGAAUAUGUAGUGUAGCGGUGAAAUGCUUAGAGAUUACAUGGAAUACCAAUUGCGAAGGCAGGUUACUAUUAAUGGAUUGACGCUGAUGGACGAAAGCGUGGGUAGCGAACAGGAUUAGAUACCCUGGUAGUCCACGCCGUAAACGAUGGAUACUAGCUGUUGGAAGCAAUUUCAGUGGCUAAGCGAAAGUGAUAAGUAUCCCACCUGGGGAGUACGUUCGCAAGAAUGAAACUCAAAGGAAUUGACGGGGGCCCGCACAAGCGGUGGAGCAUGUGGUUUAAUUCGAUGAUACGUGAGGAACCUUACCAAGGCUUAAAUGUAGAUUGACCGGUUUGGAAACAGACUUUUCGCAAGACAAUUUACAAGGUGCUGCAUGGUUGUCGUCAGCUCGUGCCGUGAGGUGUCAGGUUAAGUCCUAUAACGAGCGCAACCCCUGUUGUUAGUUGCCAGCGAGUCAUGUCGGGAACUCUAACAAGACUGCCAGUGUAAACUGUGAGGAAGGUGGGGAUGACGUCAAAUCAUCACGGCCCUUACGCCUUGGGCUACACACGUGCUACAAUGGCCGGUACAGAGAGCAGCCACUGGGCGACCAGGAGCGAAUCUACAAAACCGGUCACAGUUCGGAUCGGAGUCUGCAACUCGACUCCGUGAAGCUGGAAUCGCUAGUAAUCGGAUAUCAGCCAUGAUCCGGUGAAUACGUUCCCGGGCCUUGUACACACCGCCCGUCAAGCCAUGGAAGCUGGGGGUGCCUGAAGUCGGUGACCGCAAGGAGCUGCCUAGGGUAAAACUGGUAACUAGGGCUAAGUCGUAACAAGGUA